UUCUUGUUAUUAUAAAAAGUAUGCCUGACUUCCAAUCAGGUGGUCUGUAGUUUGUCAGACGAGAAA
Molecule: transfer RNA, 66 nt
Filed under: Ophiocomina nigra
Lineage: Eukaryota; Metazoa; Echinodermata; Ophiuroidea; Amphilepidida; Ophiocomidae
Description: transfer RNA-Gly
Source: RNAcentral